RNAcentral lists this ribosomal RNA (253 nucleotides) under uncultured bacterium. Its description in RNAcentral is "partial 16S ribosomal RNA". It matches the Rfam family "Bacterial small subunit ribosomal RNA", at positions 524 to 776 of the family's 1533-position model. The record is from RNAcentral.
UACGUAGGGUGCAAGCGUUGUCCGGAAUUAUUGGGCGUAAAGAGCUCGUAGGCGGUCUGUCGCGUCGGCUGUGAAAACCCGGGGCUCAACCCCGGGCCUGCAGUCGAUACGGGCAGACUGGAGUGCGGUAGGGGAGACUGGAAUUCCUGGUGUAGCGGUGAAAUGCGCAGAUAUCAGGAGGAACACCGGUGGCGAAGGCGGGUCUCUGGGCCGUAACUGACGCUGAGGAGCGAAAGCGUGGGGAGCGAACAGG